This 71-nucleotide transfer RNA is filed under the name Antennarius striatus (striated frogfish). RNAcentral's name for it is "tRNA-Thr". It matches the Rfam family "tRNA". From Rfam's summary of the family: Transfer RNA (tRNA) molecules are approximately 80 nucleotides in length. Their secondary structure includes four short double-helical elements and three loops (D, anti-codon, and T loops). The record is from RNAcentral. Lineage: Eukaryota; Metazoa; Chordata; Actinopteri; Lophiiformes; Antennariidae.
GCAUUGAUAGCUUAGUUCAUAGCAAUAGUCUUGUAAACUGUAGGUCGGGGGUUCAAAUCCCCCUCAAUGCU